ACGUGAACGAUGAUUUCUCACUGCAGCUGAGGAAAGAGCUGGAGGGAGGCAACACUCAGAAGAGCUGAACUAUUUCCCCAUCCAUAUCAAAGCUGUAGUAAACUUUAUCUUCGAUCAGGCACUGUGUGGCCGUUGCUCUCUGAACCUGCGAUACUUCCCUAGCAAUAUCAAGCUCUGAUACUUAUCUUCGUUUCAGCACUGUGUAUCAGACUUCGUACCGUACUGCAUGUAGUUAUUGGCUGCGAGCAGCACAACUUGUCGAACAGUGAUACUCCCUCCAUUCCUAAAUAUAUCUCUUUCUAGAGAUUCCAACAAGCGACUACUUACGGAGAAAAAUGAAUGAAUCUAUACUCUAAAAUAUGUCUAUAUACAUCUGAUGGUUCAUUUAAUUUUUUUAAAAAGGAUCCAUUUAAAAUCUUAAAAAAAACAAAUAUUUAGAAACAGAGCACCAGUAUCGCAAUUACCCGAAAGCCGUAUGGUCUGGUCCCGGCACUGCGGUAGCCGUCUAUUAACCGACUAGAUGACCUGGUUUGAUGACCAGGGCACCCUUAAGCGAAUUAGAAAGAAUGUUAGUAGUGAGUAAGUAGGAGAUGUAACUGGAAAUAUAAUACAAUAUGGAUUGUAUUACAUCAUGUAUUAACCAUAAAUCAUGAAAUCAAUACCAGAGAACCAAAUAAUGUCACCACCUCUGUACUAACAACCAACAUUUUAGCAUAAGGAGUAUCACAGGAAUGUUUACUUGCAUAUCAGGAGUAUCACAAUUACAACUAAAGAGGCAUUGUCCUUGCUACUGUCCCUGAGCCCUUCACAGGGAGAGUUUCAAGCCUCGCAACUUCUUCCUCUGACCCUCAGUUACGAACCUCAUCCCUUAGCUAUGAUUAUUUUCAAGAUGAAAUCAACAUGCUAUUUCUCUCACAUGGAACAUGUCCAGAAUUUAGUCUGUCUCACUAAUCUUUCAGCUACAAAGGCAGAAAGAAAAAUGGCAUGAUCAAUAACAAAAAAAAACUGGAACAGUAAUGCUUGUAGCGAAAGUGAAUUGAGGACAACAAAACAAUUAUUUGUAACAACGGCAAGCUUGGCUGAUGCAAAAUGAUCACUCUGAAACUAUAUCUUUAGAACCAAAUUAAAAAGGAACAAAAUAAUCUAAUACUCCCUCCGUUUCAAAAUAACUGUCUCAACUUUGUACAAAAACAUCAUGUAUCUUUAGGACCAAUUUUUAGACCAUGGUACCACAUAAAUCAAGAAUUAGACAUGUCAGAUUGCAACGUAUUUAUGGUCAGUUACCAAUCAUGUCACACCAAAGAUUUGCACAUAUAACCUGAAAUAACUGCAGCUAGCUUGAAGUCUGAAAUCUACCGGGUGACAGACAAAAGCAAUACCACCAAACCUUAUUCUUAUUGGACGAGCACAAGACUUACGAGAAGAUAACACACACAAAAUCCUAUUUGGUUUCUGGAUGCAUGCACUUUCUGGAUUGUGCACAUCAAAGCAUGGAAGAACAUUUCUAGGAGAGCCAUUGUAGCACAACGAAGUAAACCAAAAAUCAAAAAAGAGAAGUGAGUUUGUAUCUUGUAAUUUAGCAAUGUAUCAGCCCAUAUCACCAUUUAUUUUUCAGAGACCAAAGAAAAUGACAGAAGUUUCCCUAUUCUUUCAUGUACCUUUCGACCAGAAUACUCUCUAUUUACGAGCGCCACACAAACUAUUUCCUCUUGGCGGCAGGUUGGACACAGCAAUCCUCACCGCGAGCUGCAGAAGAACCACACACGCACAUACAUCAGGCCAGGAGACACGAACACGGGUGCCAUGAGGGGGGAACGGAACGGACCGGAAAUGAGCAGGCAGGAAAAUGAACGGAGGUUUGUGGACUACCUCUUCACGCCACGCCAUAUCCUCAUCCCUAGCGCUUGGCCUACAUUAUGCCGUCUACAUAUCUAUCUCCUUUGACUACCUCUUCCCGCAACGCCGUGUGCAUACCUUGUCCUACACCGGUUGGUAGUCUCACCCUUGCAUUGUGCAGCUAUAGCUGUCCAGCUAAUAAAUGGAAGGAACCAAUUUCAUCAGCUUGAGAAGGCCUGCUGCAGGUGACAAUAAUUCAUACUUAUUAACACCAUGGUGUGAACUUUUAUCACAAAGCAAAUAGGUGGAAGCAUAAGGAAGCAAUUCAACAACUUUUGCAGAGGCACUCAUGGGAUAAAAUCCAAAACAUCAAAAUUAGUCUGUUAUGUUUUUGGGAGAUAUAUAGGACUCAAGAAACUGAGAAACAUCAAAAGUAGUCUGCUAUUCAAAUACAGAACUCUAGAUAUUACACAUUCACUUAAGGCGUCACUGAUUGAGAACAGUUUUUGGAUCUCUCACCAGCUAGUAUGCAGGGUUCGUACGCCAAGUGAUACUGAUGAUUACAACCAAUCAACCUAAUAGCUAACACAUGAAUAAUUAUAUUAAACCAUACUGGUUAAUAUCACCAAUUCAGGAUAGUACACGACAAGACAGAAGUAUUCUAAAUACCAGACACAAACAAGUGCAGCCUCUCUAAAUUUUAUCAGAAGGCUGGUACAAAUUACAAACAAGGAAAAGCUGGUUGACAUAUAUGGCUAUCAUGCAUUUUCUGAAACAUGCUUUCAUGGUUGACCACAAUAAGUUUCAAAUGCUUUCUUCUUUCUAUUCGGGGUCAAUUGGAAGCAUUCAACAAUCAAACAAAUGCGAAAAAGGUACAUAAGCUUCAUUCCAAAUGUAAUACAUGUAUAUUGGAGCUAUAAAGAAGGCUAUAUCGUCAUUUUACAUGACUCAGGCCUCAAAACAACUUUACUUGCCAGUGUGCCAAGCAUCUAUCAGUAAUAUUUCCAAACUGCGACUGUGGUUGCCGUGGCUAUGCCCUAGCUCUCCCUCUACCCUAGCUCUCUCUCUCUGUCACCUCGCCUUAGACCAAACCGAAGCAAGGAAGAAGAAGACACAAAGAAAAGGGGGACACGGUGGAGUUCCGGCGCACGAACGCCUUUGUUUUUCCCUCGAGCACGAACUCGAGCUCACUCCACACCAUUACAACGAUCGCCGCGGCGACUCUUAUACCAGGACAACGCCGGGCCACGACCUGCACGUACCUGCCCACUACGCCACCCGGUCCGGCCCGCUCGACGCGCUCCCCGCGCCAAGCCCUCAACAGACCGGCGUGCACACCGCGUCCCCCGAAUCGCCAACAGCUAUGCCGCGCACACGCCCGUGCGGUGUUCACCUGCGUGGACACACCCACGCACCACACGCACACCUACACGCACGCCAACCCCGCGGACCCGGUGCACCCGACGCGUCCGGCUCGCGCCCAUACACGCGCCAGUCGAGCCCAGUGCACCGCCGCGGCUUAUUCACCAAACACUCGCGCCCUAAGCCGCGGCUCAGAGCAGCCCGGCGUCCUCGACGUCGUCCACGAGCAGGGCUCGCUCCGCCGCCGGUGCCUUCUUGAGCUGCGGGCACUCGCGCUUGAAAUGCCCCCGUUCGCCGCACUUGUAGCAGCGACCGCGCCGAUUCCCGCCGAAGCCCAACGCCUCGCUGCGCACGUCGUCGUCGUCCCGUGCACCACCUCGUCGCUGCUCCCGCGCCCGCCAUUGCGCCGCCGUGUACAGCAGCUCGCCGUCAGGUCGCUCGCCGCCCGCCUGAUCGCGUCGUCGCAGCCGCUCGUCAAAUGCCUUCAGCCGCCCCAACGCGUCCUCGAACAGCAUCGUGCUGACGUCGCAGAACUGCUCGAUCCCUGCCACCGCCGCGUACAGGCGGUUCGGCACCGAGUCGAGCAGCUUCUUGACAAGCGCCGCGUCCUCCAGGGUCGAGCCCAGCGCCGCGUAGCGCGCCGCCAUGCCACCAAGCCUCCCGGCGAACGCGUCCAGGGACUCUGACUCCGCCAUGCGCAGGAGCUCAAAUCCCCCACGGAGCGUGAUGAGCCGCGCCGCGCGCACGCGGUCCGCGCCCACAAACCUGGCCUUCAAACUCGCCCAUACCUCGGCCGCCGUCUUCUUCGACGCCACCUGCAGCAGCAGGUCCUCGGCGAGUGCACCGAGCAGGUAGGCGCGCGCGGGCUUGUCCUUCUUCGCGAUGACGGCCGCCGCCGCGUCCUCCGGCCCCACCACCGCCUCCCACAGCCCGGCCGCAUCAAGGUUUGCCUCCACCUUGAUCGACCACGCCGUGUAGUUGUCGCCGGUGAGCAGUGGCACCGACUGCGGCAGCGACCCGCCUGUUCCGCCGGCGUACGGGACGAUCGACAUCGCCGGCGCGCCCUGAACAGAACGCCUUUGUUUUUCCCUCGAGCUCGAACUCGAGCUCACUCCACACCAUUACAACGAUCGCCGCGGCGACUCUUAUACCUGGACAACGCCGGGCCACGACCCGCACGUACCUGCCCACGACCCGCACGUACCUGCCCACUACGCCACCCGGUCCAGCCCGCUCGACGCGCGCGCUCCCUGCGCCAAGCCCUCAACAGACCGGCGUGCACACCGCGUCCCCCGGAUCGCCAACGGCUAUGCCGCGCACACGCCCGUGCGGUGUUCACCUGCGUGGACACACCCACGCACCACACGCACACCUACACGCACGCCAACCCCCCGGACCCGGUGCACCCGACGCGUCCGGCUCGCGCCCAUACACGCGCCAGUCGAGCACAGUGCACCGCCGCGGCUUAUUCACCCAACAGCGACAGUAAACACAUCGCAAUGUGAAGCAUGGCAGUGUCAAAAUAACCAAGAUAUUAUAACAUGCUCUCAAACCCGAAAAAUGCAAUAAUAAGACUACAUAAGAGACCUAAUUGCUUAGAAUAACACUUUAGUAUCACCAUCUAAAAUAGUACGUCAUCAUAAAUGAUCUAUCCUCUCAUCAGUAUGUACUAUACCAUCUGCCAUGGCUGGAAAAGACCAUACGCAUCAUAAUCAAUCACCUGGAGGUAAGCUGCAUGCAAAUAGUCCAGACAUCUCUCUUGGUGUUGCUCGUGAUCAACACAAGAUGUACCGGGAGUAGUCGCUACUGCCACAUCAAAAUUAAGAAUCAAUUAACUAUAAAACACCUCUAAUCACUCCAACAAUGCUUAGCUGAUGGAGUUAGAACCACCCAAGGAGAAGAAUCUAGCAGCAGGGAUCUCUCACCUUGAGAUGUUACGGCAGUGCAGAGUGGGUAAAGGCUAUGCAACAUUGGCCCUUUGAAGAUCCUGGCCAUGACGUUACUCAUCCACUUUCAUGAGAAAUUUCUUGAGCAUCUUGCUGGAACCCUACCAGUGGGACGACACCGCCGGCAACAAGUUAACCCAUCUCUGCUAGUGAAAAAUAAAAGGAAUAAGAGACCUGCGGUCAGGUGCACAAAUAGCUAAUCAGAAAGUGAGGCAAAGAGAGUAGAAAUGAGUGGUGAAUAUCUGUAGGGCAUCAUUUCAUGCGAAAUAUAUCAAAAUAGAAACAAACUGUCAUUGUUGGAUUUAGCAACCGGUAAAUUUAAUUAUUUUUGGUAAGCUACCGAUGGUAAUUACCAAGGGUGAUACAUCAAGUAUACUUAUAGUAGAAAAUGAGAGUAGGAAAGCCUGUAGGUACCAUACUAAAUAGAUGGUCUACUGUAAUCAACCAGGUAUAAACUGGGCAUCAAUGAUCUGCCACAUGAAAUAAGACAUUGAAAUGGCAGAAACAGAGUAUGUAUAAUUCGUAGAUGUUGAGGGCAGGGAAAAUAUAGUACACAUAAGAACACUUCUCAUGCAAAGAUCUAGACCGAAAAUAAAAAUAAAGGGAAAUCAGGGUAUACACCAGAGUAGGCCAUGAAAAAACACAAAGAAGAUCAGCAUCAAAUAGAACACACCUCGACCAAAGAAACGGCUGACCAACAGCAGGAACCGGAACGUCGCAGAUCCACCAACCUAGGAGAUCCUGGACGUUGCAGAAAAAAGGCAGAAAAUGUAAGCAGCAAAAUAGAUGCUGAUGAAAGGAAAUAAAGCAGGUGAGUUAACAUAAUUUUCAUAGUAAGCAGCAACCUAAGUGACAAAUAAAACCACAGAAGGACCGAGAAGAACGUACGUUAAACACAUGUUGUGGUCUCUUAUUUCUUUUAUUUUUUAGUGCCUACAAUAAAAAAAUGAUGGGACAAUACCUUAUAUUGCCUAGCAUGAGCGCAUAUAUCAAUGCUUGCAAUAAAAAAACGAUGCAACAUCAAAACAAAACAUUAGAAAGAUUGAGGAACCCAACUAUAACGAGAACACCUUGUGCCUGCAUUUCAUCAGAUAUGUAGUAUGUAUUUAAUUCAUACUUACAGUCCUGAAUGCCUCCUUUAUGUGGCCAUUCUCCACCCUCAAAUCCAUGUCCAAACCACCAAAAUCAGCAUCAUACACGUUCUUAUCCUAUAUGUUGUCUAUUCAGCAAGGAAAGAUCAUCCUAUUUUGAAACAAAAUGCAAUAAUUUGGAGCUAAAUCUUGGAUUCGCCAUUCUUUUCAGAGAAUGAAAGUACUGCAAACAAAUACAUUUAAUCCUAUAGAGAUCUUAAGAACACAUUAAUUUUUUCCAAGCAUGUAUGGUUUGAGCAGUGCGAUCGAGUAUAUGUUGCUUAUUCACCUUGGCUCCAUUGCUUGCUGCUCCAAGAAAAUGCAGCCCAUAUCCUUGCUGCUCCAAACCUGAGCAACCACCAAACCAGCCUCCUCCAGCCCCCAGCGCAUGGCACGCCCAAGAGCCCCAGCCUCCUCGCAGCUCCCGAUCCAGGAGCGGAUCGAGCCGCCGCCAACCGCCAGAUCUCGCCCGACCUCGCAGACGUAGGCCGACGCCGGCGUGAGACCUUCUCCCAUCAGCCCACACACCUCCAUCUCCUCUUUCCUCUCUCUUUCUCCCUCCUCUCCUUCCUUCUCUCUCUUCCUCUCAUCCUCUCUCUCCUACAGAGACGAGUGACGGCGACCAUGCGUGGGGGGCAGAGGAGGAGAGAAGUGGAGGGGAGGAGGCGGCGGCGCAGUGGCACAGAUCUUGGGGAGCUCGGGGGCGUGCGGCGGGCGGAGCUUGCCGGAACCGGCCGGCGUGGGUAGGGCGAUGGGGAAAGAGAGGGGUUAGCGAGAGAGAGAGAGAGAGGAGGGCGACGAGGAGGGGGAGGCGAGUGGGACGGGAGGCGGCGGCGAGGGUUUCUCCACGGGAUUGGCAAUUUAUACCCUGCACGUAAAAAGACCAAAAUGCCCUCGGCGGGGCACAAAAUUUACACGCGGUGGCAGCAAUACUGUUUAUAGCGAAUUAGGGGCGACGUGGAGGCCUUGGUUCUGCCUAUGACUUCUUGAAGGUUUAUAUGUUCAACUAGAUGACCCGUUGCGCCAAUGGCGCAAAAACCGAGAGCAAGCGAGCAUUCAAACCAUGGGUAUCACUUGAUAGCUUACAUUGGUUUUAUAAAGCAAGUUAUAUUAGCAAAUAUGCUCAUAGAUAUAUAGCUCUUGUCUCAUAAACCUUUGGCUGAUUCUUGUAUCUUCUGCCAGCAGGAAAGACAACGACAUGAAGACGGUAGGGUCACAUGUCCUAUCAAUAUCAAACAUGAUUUAAUUGUUUAAGCAAAUCUUCAUGAUGGGUGUGUUUGGUGAAUGUUGUUAGUGAAAGCAUAAAUGCCUUCCAUAUCAUUGAAUUUUAUGGUAUAUGACCUAUUACACACAUGGUGCGAGAAGCCUAUGAGGACCGAGUAUGAUGUGGUAAUUGAAGGAUAAUCAAAUGUAAUGAAACAAUAAGCACUACACUGUAAACCCCAUUUGCUAUAGUAUAAUAGGAUGAGAGGCACAUAAGUGCAGCUUGCUGCACCCCUACCGGGUGCAGCUUAUCCAACUCGGUAAUAAAGCCACUGGAGAAUUGCAUAUAAAAUAUAACAUAGCCUAAUACAACUAUGAGCUGACCCAAGAAUAUUUAGACAACUAUGAUGUGUCUCAGUUAUGAUGGGCCGUUGACCAAAGGGGUAUAGAAAUCCAGAUGAAAAGUGUAGUAACACACUCAAAUCAUAACACAGCAAGCAACAAUUCAAGUUCCGCCCAUAUUAAAACAACUUAAAGCAGGAUACACGAUAGGACACCUUUUGUGCUUGAUAGGUUUACAUGAUGGAAGCCAAAAAUGCAUUGGUUCAUGAUAGCAUACCAAAAGGAACGCAAGAUCGCAUUACAUGAUAACUUAUUUACAAUGCUUUUUAUGUAAAGCAUAGGAACAAACUAUGUACACAACAAUAUAAGACGUAUGGGGCAUGCCUUGAUGUGUGCUGGAUGGGAUCUUUUUCCUGAGUGAUCGACGCAAUGUCAUAUGACCUGUUGAAAAAUCACCGUCACCGUCGCUUGGCAAUCAGCGAGCUCACCUUAUGAAAGGUUAUGGACGGUGAGUGACAGCUGACGACCCGAGUCUCUUCAAAGACAGACGAAUACAUCCCUUUUUCUUGAUUCUGGCUGCUUUGACGAAUUGCGUCCAGUUUGUGUUGAUAGCCACUCUUUUAUCUUAACCUUAUAUUAAACAAAGUUGUUCCUGUAAACAUCCACAUGGGGUUAUGAUUCACAUGUUCUCAACGAUUGGGUUAAGCUUGAGAAAGAUCCUAGUGUAUGGAGCAGAGAAGUACUGCAGCGAGACAACAAACUGGAGUUAUUUAUGGUGGGUAGACAAAGUACAUCAUGGCGGCAUAGGACAAUAUGUAAUUUAAUUCUCACCAUUCUUUAUCCUGUACUACAUGUGUUGUUCAUCUUACAGACAUAGACCUUAAUGGCAGGUACCCUCGAAUGAACCAGUCGCUUAAGAAGACAGAUCUCAUCUGGAGAGAUGUCAAAUUCACUUGGAUACUUGCAUUGGAGUUCCAAGUGUUCCCUGUACUGUAUGUAUGCAUGACCCUAUAUUUCCAACAUAAUGACUAUUUAAUCCCAUAUAAAUUCCAUGGUUACGUAAUGUUGUAGGAACCGAUAGUUACCUUGUGUAACGGUCCUCUUAGUCUAUAUAUUUUUUGCAUUCCUAGUUGGACCUUUGGGUUUCCUGGCACGUUUGCGGCUCUCUAAAUAAUCAGUGAUACAAAGUGUUGGUCUGUUUCAUGGAUAACCAGCAGUCAUUGAACUGAAGAUUUAGGCUAAAAUGAAACAUCACGAAUUAAGUCCAUUAGGACUCUUAUUAUUCCUCUGUAAUAAAUUAGUAAUGUAGGGCCAUUGCAGUUUCAGAGGGCUACACUAAAUUUACCUGAUCCAUCGAAGCUCUUUUUUACUCUAAUAGCAGCAUGCAAUUAUCAUACGCAUAUGUUUCAGUUUCUCAUAGGAACAUGCCCAUUAAGCAAGGAAUAGCAAUGUACAUACUAAUCUAACAUGCUUCAUCCAUGAGCAGCCAAGCAGAAUAGAGGUGAAAUCAAUACCUUCAUCAUCAUUAACCUGUAUGGGAUCAUUGAUCCUUGCUCCUUUUAUCCUGCAGCCACCAUUUGAAUUUCAUUAGUAUCUGGAUCAGUCUGAUCACCAUAUAAUUCGGUUGAUAAUUCACUUGCUAGUACAAAUAAAAUAUAAAAUUGAUCUAAAAAUUUCGACUGAUUACAGUUCAGAGCACGUGUAUUUAUCAGAUCACACAAGUGUUCAGCGCAAUACAACCUUUCCAAAUCCACACAUAGCCCAAGGGAGGGAGGGACGGGGAGAGAGAGAGAGAGAGAGAGAGAGAGAGCAAGGUAACUAUUUUGACCUCCCAAAAUUUGUAGAUGAAAGCAUAACUGAAUUUACAUUUCCUAAUGUGGACCAAAAAAAUAUGAGAAUACCAAAAGGAUUACCAGUUCUUCAAUUUUCCAGUUUUUUUAAUAGACUAUGAAAAAAUAUACAAUGAGGAACAAAGAUUUGACUGCAUGCUAUAAAAAAUGAUCCCAAUUGAUCGGUGAAGAGGUGCUAAAAGCUCCAUAUUAAAAAAACAAGAGAAUGCUUGAUCUUAAUUAAUUUGUUCGUUCACAUGGCUGAAAAGUACAGGCGUCAGAGAUAAUUUGCUUAACAACACUUAAAUAGCAAUAGUAUCUUAGCACACCACUAAAUAGUUGUUUUGGAGAAUAAUUAUUCAUGUCAAUGACCUAUUCGUGAACUAAUAUGAAACAAAGGACAUGGUAUGUAUAUAGCUACAAAAUACUCAUGGAUUUGUUCGAAAUGUUCUAUCAAGAGAACCACUGGAAAAAAUUAUCUUAUUUGAUGGGGCUCUCACCAGAAUUUUAUUACCUCAAGCUGAACGGGGCACUCCACCAGGAUUUUAUGACCAUAUCAGGAAAUUCAUGUAAGUUCCAUCUUUACACUAAUGGAAUCAAAUGCCACCACAGAAAUUUGUCUGGUAUUACCCAAUUAGUAGUACUUUACAGAAGUAAAAAGUUCAAGAAACAACGAAAAUCCAUUUUGACAACUACGUACUACAUUUUAUUCUUUGACAAAAGUAAGAGAAAUAACUUGGCAUUAAUUAUCAUAGCUUUUGGAAAAUUAAAGAUUCGAGCCAGGAUGGGCUCCUUCAUUAAUUAGUGAAGACCAAAUAAGUAGUCUAAAGAAGUACUAUACACUAAAAACCUUACUGAUGAAAGGGCAACAAAUUAAACAUGAGCUGUGGCCAGCUCCCUGCAAUACGCAAGAGAGCUCUAGCAUGGCAUGCACGUGACAAUUUGUAAGCACCUACACGUGCUGCUAUGCCAAGUUAGAAAUGCCUAAAAAAAUCAUGAGUAGCCUAGCUUUAUUUUCAGUAGAAAGUUAAAAGUAGAACAUACAGAUCAAUAAAGGUUCCUUUGUUCAAAAUGCCCUUCUUCUUUGAGUUCCUAGUAGCCUGCAUCUAAUCAUUCCACUGAAAAUGAAAGCGAGCAUUAACAGGUAAGGUUCAUAAAAGUGGCCCUCAGAUAAGUAUAAAAAAUAAAAUUGAACACUAAUGCAUUGUAUUUUAUAUUUGACACCCGAACACAUUUUGUUAUUACAAAAUGAUAUGCCAUGCACCUAGAGCUUCAGGUCAAGUAUAGAUGAAAUAGGGUUCCCCAGAGAAGGGGGAAUUGUAUGUCCAAAAAGAUAAUGUAUGAUCAAGCAACCAUAAAUUGUGAUAAUUGCAGAAGAUGGAGAACAACCAAAUUAAUCUGGUCGGCGCCGUCAUGGUCAACCCUUUCAAUGGUGCUAUUGCAGUUACUACUUCGUCAAGUUGAAUUGUAGAAGGCAAAUUAUAUUCAAAUAAACCAGGGAACAUGUGGUAUAUUUUCUAUGGUCAUUUCCCACAGUACAGCAAGGAACCAAAUGAAAAAUGUAUAUUGAUCUUACUUUUGCAAUCCACACAAAUCAUUGGCAGAGAAAAAUCACUAAAACAAACUUGUUGCUUAUUAAGGAGCAGAUCAAGCAACCAUAAAUUAUGGUAAUUGCAGAAGAUGGAGAACAACCAAAUUAAUCUGGUUGGCGCCGUCGUGGUCAACCCUUUCAAUGGUGCUAUUGCAGUUACUACUUCGUCAAGUUGAAUUGUAGAAGGAAAAUUAUAUUCAAAUAAAAAAGGGAACAUGUGGUAUAUUUUCUAUGGUCAUUUCCCAUAGUACAGUCCAGGAACCAAAUGAAAAAUGUAUAUUGAUCUUACUUUUGCAAUCCACACAAAUCAUUGGUCGAGAAAAAUCACUAAGCCAAACUUGUUGCUUAUUAAGGAGCAGCUAGAACAAAUUCUCCAGUUCAUGGCUAGAGACCAGAUCAAAAAAAGCAGAGAAGAAUCGAUUAAUGAUUCAGGACAUACCUUGUUGACCGGUGUUGUCGUGGAUCGGAAAGCUCGCGUGCCUGUUGCCGGUGUAGCGGGGAAAAGCUCCUUACACGCUCUUGGAUCCAUCACACCUUGAGAGGCAUAACUUUGCUAUGCAGAGUGGCCAACAAAGCUGCAAUAAGUUGAUGUGCACGGAUCAUGUCAGCGAGAUGCUACAACAACAGAAGCAUGAGAGAAUCGAAAGCGUGGCUCACCUUGAGGUCCUCGUUGUCUCUGCAGUCCGUGCUCACAGGAGGCAUUCAGUGUUCCUCUGCGGCAGAGUCCUAGGGUGGUGUGACUUCCUGGAGAAUGGACAUCAUAACAUAGCAUCUAUACCAGCUUCUUGAUGCCAUAUCAAACUGGCGCGAGCUUGGCUGCAAGGGUCGGAAAACCCUCAACCUUACAAAACACAGUAAUUAUGCAGACAGAAAAAAACAUGUAUCAGCAACACAGAAGAACCCCAAAGAAGGCCCUCCAUCUUGAUGCUUCAGACAACUUGCUCUAGCUUGACCAUGUCAGCAUCAAGCAAAACUGAUGACCCUCUUUUCUUCUUCUCUCACCUCCUCACACAUCAAUAAUAUUGUAUUAACUUUUUAUUUAGAAAUGGGAAGCAUAAAGAAGCUCGACUAAUAACUUGAAAUAAAUAAGCGACAGCUAAUGAGGCAUACAACAAAGGCAAAAACUUCAUGUUUUGUAUGCCUUCUUUUUACUGAUGGUGAUGGUUACUUAAGUGUAUCCCUGAAUGAAAAAGCAAAUAAACAUAUGCCUUAUCAAUCAAAAUGUUACCGCCUAAACUAAUUAUCUAAACAAAAUCACCUCUAUCGAAAGUUCCCAAUGAUUAAUUCCCCUGUUCAAGAAUUUGUCCGAUUAACCAAUUACCUUGCCGAUUAAUCCCUACUCAUAAGGUCACCGGAAGUAAACUGAUAAAUCAUCCAAUUAAUUGAUUAAAUGGCCGAUUAAUUUGUAUUAGCCUAUUAAUCCUCCACUCGCCACCCAACCGAGCAGCUACCAGUUAACGAUUUCCUCAAUAAUGAUUAAUUCUAACAUGGAGGAGCAAUGCUGAAUUAGGAUCCCUUGAUUACCUACAGAGAAGCCCUCGGCUACGUAUGUUGCAUGUUCCCCCUGAUUAUCAUGCAUGGUUUUGCUUCCCUAAACGAAUUAUGACUCCUCUGGCAAUACAGAACUUGCAAGCUAAUUAUUUCUACCAUUAUUUGCCUCCUAAUGAUCCAUGAACCAAUGAAAUAUAUAUAGCACCCCGGUGGCACUUGGAGAUUCAAAGAUACACAUUUGGCCACUCCAAAGAGUAAUAGGUUUGUGGUUCAAAAUAAUUGUUGAUCAAUAAAAGCAUAAACUUGGUCAAGAAAAGAAAAAUGAUAAAUUGUCUAUCUGAACCAUACAACCAUUGCAACUCAAAAGGAUGCAGCAUUGCCGGUGAAAAUAAAAUACACAAACUUGAUUGAUAAUCAGCUGUUGAGCCAUUGGCGCUCAAAUCGCUCGCCACCGCUAGCACGCUUGAUUUCGCAACCUGUGAAGAACGAUAGAAAUGCUAUAACAACAAUUGAAACUAUUGGCCUAAGAACAGUCAGUCAGCACCUUUGAGCUCCUCAAUGAAGCUGUUACAUAAGAAGUCAAUCAUACUGGAUACUGUUCCUGUCUUUUUAGAAAACAAAAAAAGCCGACUGUUCCUAUCAGUAUAACCAUCAAAUAUCUGAACAAUCCAUCUGGCAUAAGAUCAUUCUCUGCGGCAGCACUGCAGAGAACCCGAGGGUUCCACGGCAACCCUUCUGGAUGGGCAGCCUGCAAAGCUCCAGAUUUUCGACAUGCCUGCAUCAUUUGAAAUGCACCAGAGCAGUCUGAUCCAGUACAGUUGUGGACUUGUGGUACAAGUUAAUAGAUACCACUCAUUAUAUUUAUAACAUGUUCUGACAUCAUAAAGGACACAUAAAGUGGAAUGAGAUUAGGUCAGAGUUAAGCUUACAGCUGCUUUCGAAGGUCCGAGGAUGCUGCCAUUCAGGAUCUCCCCCUGAAAGAAGUUGGUGGAGAGGUUCCUACAUUUGUCAGGUAAAGAUUUACAUUAGCAUUCUUGCCAACGGAAAGCUGUAUGAAAUUGUACAGAGAAAGGUAUGAAACAAUGAAGCAGACGGCAAUCCACCAUGUGAGGCCACACCCUGUUCCUUCCCCAAGCUGGUCUUGCUUGCUUGCGGAUCAGAGGUUUGUUCAAAAAAAAAAAGGAACCACAAAACUUACACAAUAGUGCAUAGAUGGUAGAAACAGAAAGAAUGAUUGAGAUCAGGGGCAAGGGGGAGAAGGAUUAAGAGAGGCUUACCUAGGCAUCACCGACGGAGCUGCCACCUCGACCCGCUCCCCCGUCCGCCCGCAGCAGCAACAGCAGACCGAGCGGAUCCCUGCACCGCCGCCUCAGCCCGUCGCCUUGAAGCAUCGCCUGCCCCAGCGCCGUCGCUAGGAGAUGCCGCUCCCACGUUCUCCUCCGGCCAGAUGCGUUGUCACAUCCCGCUCUAACCACCUAAUCCACCAGCGUGGGCACUUGCGACGACGGUGGCGAGGAGAGGGUGCGUCAGGAGGAGAGAUUGGGGUGGCGGUGGCGGCGGCGGCGGCUAGAGAGGAUGAACGGGGGAGCGAUAGAUGGCGGCGAGGAAGGGCUAGGGUUGUGCCUCUUAUUCCUCUCCUUCCAAAAGGCUAUGCGCACGGGGCUGACCAGCGCAAGAAAACAAGAUAUACUACAGGAACGAUAAAGAACAAGCGAACACUGUCAAAUAUUAGCGUUAGGCCCAUCAGUCAUUCACCUUCCAGUAAAAAUCGGAAGUCAAUACUGUAAAAAUAAAUGAACGGUAAAAAGGGCAUACAGCUCAGCCAAGCGUGGGAAUCGGGCGGACCAAAAGCAACAGCGACGGCAAGUGCCUCUUAUGGGCGGGUUGCCUAGCCUUGUUUAUAUGUUCGAUGCGGUCCAUUGCUUGAUAUCCUUCUUCGAACUUCUCACCGGAAGAGAAUAAUAAAUGUAAGAGCAACCUCAGGUCUUAAGCAAAGUCGCCAAAAGCAUUUGAACUCUAUAAUAACUGCCAAUAUUGAAGUGGGAUGCUAAAAAGACCACCCCUCUUUUUGGAGCGUUGUUCACUUCUUAGCACGCAUUUUUGGAGCUCGCUCUAAAUUUAGUUCCCAGUACGGGUGCCGGGUGGGAAGUUUCAGCUUCUUCCUCCUCGAGUAAGAUUGGAGUAGCUCAGUCUCACAUGCACCACCGCCGACGAGCACCGGGCCAUUAAUGCCACAGUAGCCCCCUUCGAUUCCCAUGGCGACCCAUUGGGUGGCCACCACACAGCAUCAUCUUCUUGUUUGCAUGCGAGUAAGCCGUGGCAUUGUUUCUCAUCAGGUAUUGUGCCAGUCGUCUUAAUGGUGCCUAUAAAAGGCCGACACCCUCCCACCCUAGCUUCAAUACUCUCUCUGACUCCUCUCAUUUCCCUCUCUCCCGCCUUCAAUCCACCAAUGCUUCCUUACCGAUGACGCACCCGAAUGAGCUCCCCUUCAUAUUUUAUUUGGGGAUGAGGUGGAGAAGAAGCGAGAUCCCCUUGCCGAACAUUGGGCCGACUUCGACGUGGCCAAAGAGGCGUGGUGGCAAGAGGAGGUGGGAGGGGAGAGGCGGAUUUGAGACAACGCGCUUGCACAUAGUGCCGUAGACGCUGAUGACUUGCCGGUCCGUUUAAGUCGAAACGGACAAAGUUCACGGUCCAACACGCGAGAGCAACCGCAAAUUAUGUCCGGCUCGACUCAAAUCCGGCGCAAUUGUGGGACGGAUUUGCAUCCAGAUUGACACUGGACGGACGCGCACACGUCCUCUCGUCAUUCGCCAUCGGACCCGCAUGUCAACCGUGCAACUGCUUGCGUCGGCCCAUUUAAUGCGCACGGGUGGUCGGACCAGCACGUCGGCCUCCCAGCCGCCCUCUAACCCGUCCUUUUUUAAUGCUGAAAUCGUGGACCGGCCAGUCCACUUCCAACCGCGUCCACACACUGCCACUGCCCCCUCACACCCCGACAAUCGCAAACCUAGCGCCCCUCGCUCCUCCUUCCUCGCUCCCCGUAGGCCGUCGGCAUGGGGAUGCGGAAGUGGAUCCCCGACAAGAAGGGGAAGCACGACCACAAAGCGAGGUCCUCCUUUGUGUCCUCAAGGAGCGUCGCCCGCCUACUCCACCUCGCCACCCUCCUUCUUCAUUUCCCCGCGGACGACCUUGCUGCGCAUGCGGCCCUACAUCAUGGUCGACUUUGCCAGCGCUACUGGGACCACAACCACGCAGCGACGUGAUACGCCUUUGAUACGUUGAUUUUGCAUCAUGUUUAUGUUGAUAUUUAUUGCAUUACAGACUGUUAUUUCACUUUAUAAUACAAUUCUUUUGCAUUUUCUCUCUUACUUUGCAAGUUUCACAUGAAGAAGGAGAUUGCCGACAACUGGAAUUCUAGACCGGAAAUGGCUAUAUCGGAGGCACUUUUUCUGAACAACUCCAAGUGAGCUGAAAAUUGACAGAGAAUUAUUUUGAAAUAUAUUAAAAUUAUUGGCGAAAGAAAUACCAGAGGGGGACCCACCAGGCAGCCACAAGCCUAGGGGCGCGCCCUACCCCCUGGGCGCGCCCCUGGCAGGCCUCCGGGGCCCAUCUUCUCCUAUAUGGUGCCAUUUGACCUAGAAAAAAAA
RNAcentral lists this long non-coding RNA (16377 nucleotides) under Triticum aestivum (bread wheat). Its description in RNAcentral is "long non-coding RNA (TAES_LNC000095)". The record is from RNAcentral. Lineage: Eukaryota; Viridiplantae; Streptophyta; Magnoliopsida; Poales; Poaceae.